GUGAAUCAUCAAAUUUUUGAACGCAAAUUGCACUCUCUUCGGAAAGGGUGCCUGUUUGAGGGUCAGCAUAAAAAAAAUCAACGUCGAUCCUAUUUCGCUGUAACAUUCGUCGGUCGUUGGAUCAUCUUUAUCCUUUUGGUUUUAAUCGGCUUAAAAUUGUCUUUACGAUUCCACGAACGUUUUUAUGAUUCUACUUCUUACACGUUU
RNAcentral lists this unclassified non-coding RNA (207 nucleotides) under Glomus sp. RNAcentral's name for it is "partial contains 5.8S ribosomal RNA and internal transcribed spacer 2". Lineage: Eukaryota; Fungi; Glomeromycota; Glomeromycetes; Glomerales; Glomeraceae. The record is from RNAcentral.